This is a long non-coding RNA of Schistocerca cancellata (South American locust), 2384 nucleotides long. RefSeq lists it as uncharacterized. Lineage: Eukaryota; Metazoa; Arthropoda; Insecta; Orthoptera; Acrididae. The record is from RefSeq and is a predicted model, not a curated record. The transcript has 2 exons.
CUUCCUGUUUUCUCGAUCGAUCUGUGUUCAGUUUUUCAAGGCCUAUCCACUGUGCCAACUUAUAACUAAAUCUGAGGGGGGUGCGAUGGGGAUGUUCUCUUGUCAGUACCCAACUUGGAAGGAAUGUUUACCGACAAACUUUUAGUGGUAUUUUCGGGUCUGUAUGCUGACUGUUUUGAUACGAAAAUUCUAGCUUUUCUAAUGCUAUUUUACCCACUUUUCUUCCAAGACCUUUGUGCCACAGCAUUCAGUUCAGCGGCACGAUGGACAGAAGAAGCUUUUAUAACAAGUAUCUGGAUAGCAGACGGCGAAGAGUAGGUGAUGUACAGUUUCUCAUCGCCACAAUAUGCAUCAUCGCCCAGGGUAAAUUCUAAACGUCUCCUCGCUGUCUCAUGAACAGAGAGCACAUCACGCUACUGAUGGUGUAACGUCACAGAAUUAGGAUGUUAAGCUACGCUCUACCCUAGUCCAAUUCCAGAGCAGUAGACUAUAUAUUUAUUUUUUUUAAUUCCAGUCGACGAUCACAAAAAAUAGUCGUCAGAUCGGUUUUGGUCCAGAAUGACCAUCUUCAGAUCUGAUGAGACGAGCAGAUUACCAUAUCACCAUAUUAUUCUAAUACGAUUAAGCCGAAGUGGCACGGUCAAAAGAUACAAGCUAAAUUAGCAUGGCGUCAUUGAAAAUACAAUAGUGUAGUAUAAACCACACUACAAUGCCGGAAGAUGUGAAUGGCGCUGUUGUUCACAUCGUUUUAGGAUAUUACAAAGCUUCUCUGUUUUAAUCAGAUCUGAAGGCGGUCAUUAUGGACCGAAGUCCAUAGUCAGAUGACAAAUUUUUGUGAACGUCGAGUGGAAUGAAAAGAAUUCUGUACUUUCUCUAUCACUGGCUUUAUUCAGGCCUAUGUCGCACCUUGUGUGAUCAGUAUCUAUAUUCCGCUUCUACGUUCCUCCUCCUCCUCCUUCUCUUCAUCAUCGCCAUUGACAAUGCUAGAAGAUGCACUUGUACCAUUCAUCAGUACUCAAACGGCUAUUCAUAAGACAUACCACUCCAUACUUUAACGAAGAACAAGUGCCAUUCACUCGAAGAAGCAAACCUUUCUCGAGCAGAUGACUAAGACUGUCCAUCACGUUCUCUCUGCCGCAUUACUACUACACGACUUUACAUUUUGUCGAGUGGUUUCAUCAUAAGGCGUUGGGUAAAUAAUAUCUUUCUGACUGCGACAGCUGGAGUUCGACAUCAAAACAUAAAUCAACCUUUCAUUUGAGUUCUGACAACACAAACUUCAUGGACCUACAUACCGAUAACCAACCCUCACAAAAUAGAAAUUACGCGACAGUUGCAAAAGCUGCUAAAUAUGGCGUCCAUACUUCUCCUAGAAUGCCGUUUAGUAUCUGUCCUGUCAUUCUGUGUAUAUUUUUGUUACUGAUAUGAAAGAAAGUGUUGUCCACUGUUCCAUCGGAUAAUAAUUGAUACGUGUAUACGCUACCAGUGAUGAAAUCCAGUGUCUCUUUACCUGUUACAAAAUGUAACACUAUAACAUUCAAAGACCUUCGAAAAAAUAUAACAUGUAGUUUACGUACGGAAACAGUACUAUAAGUUGUUUCCACAACAUAUGUCACUGGUGUACUAUACACCGAAAGUUAAAAGGGAAUGUUCAAAGAAAUCCCCACUGUCUAAGAAACUUCCGUGGAUGCACGGUAGAUCGUAAACCCUACUAUUGGAGAAUAUCCUUAUAUUGUUUCUGUAACUAAUCAAUAAGUAGUCAAACUUUUUUCUUGGAGGGUUGGUGUCAAGCUGCAGUAGGUUUCAUACAACCAUAAUCAGCACCAAAGCGGUUUAUAUAUCUUCCAGUUUGUAUAUAAGCUUUUUCAACAGCAGUGAUUGGGUUUAAAAAUAAACCAAUCCGAGAUAUCCAAAACGUAGUAGUUAUUCUAAAUGGGUAGAGAGAUUUGUGUGAAGCCAAAAAUUACGUACUUUACCUCACCUAUAGAGACAGAUUCUGUCCAUUCCUUCCAAUACUCCUCAUUGCAUAUAUGAGGUUUUUUUCAUUUUUUACAUCUCGUGUACCAUGAAUUUUUAUAUAUCGACACUUUAAGGCAGUUUUGCUUCAUAAUACAAUUCAUACCAUCCUCACUGGUUAACAGAUCUUAGUACCUCUGAUGAAAGCAGUACUCAGGGUAACAAAACUGUGUGUUGGAGGUCAUGACAAGUACCAAAGUGCAUCAUCUUCAAUAUUUCGUGAGACUAACAUUUUUCUCAUACCUUUUACAGUGAAGUAAUUUAUCAAUGUAAUAUUUAUGUAUCAAUUACCAUUUGUGUAUCAUUACAUUUUGUGUGUUUCUCAUGCAACAUUUAAGCACUAAAUCAAAAAGUACAAGCCACCUUUA